CGUGCUAAGGAAGCAUAAUCAUUAGCCUCUUAAUAGGAGGCUUGUAUGAAAGGUAAAACAUUUUAACUUCUUUUUUAAUUCCUUUUUUCUAAUUUAAAUUAAGAGUUAAAAUGCUCUUAUUUUUAAAAUAGACGAUAAGACCCUUUUGAACUUUACUGAAGUUUAGCUGGGGCAGCUAAAUAAAUAAUAUCUUAUUUUUUUCCUUUUUUUCUAAAGACCCAAUAAUAUUGAUUUUUUGAACAAGUUACCAUAGGGAUAACAGCGUAAUAUCUUUUUAAAGCUCUUAUUUAAAAAGGGGAUUGCGACCUCGAUGUUGAAUUAAUGUAACUUUUAUGCAGUAAUUUUAUAAGUAGGUCUGUUCGACCUUUAAUACAUUACAUGAUUUGAGUUCAAAUCGGUGUAAACCAGAUUGGUUUCUAUCUUUUUUAUAUUUUUAUUUAGUACGAAAGGACCAAUAAAUUUAUUUUCAAU
This 471-nucleotide ribosomal RNA is filed under the name Cyrtophora citricola. Its description in RNAcentral is "partial 16S ribosomal RNA". It matches the Rfam family "Bacterial large subunit ribosomal RNA", at positions 1947 to 2713 of the family's 2925-position model. Lineage: Eukaryota; Metazoa; Arthropoda; Arachnida; Araneae; Araneidae. The record is from RNAcentral.